GUGCUCACUUCGGCAGCACAUAUACUAAAAUUGGAACAAUACAGAGAAGAUGACCAUGGCCCCUGCACAAGAAUGACACACAAAUUUGUGAAGCGUUGCACAUUUUU
RNAcentral lists this small nuclear RNA (107 nucleotides) under Catagonus wagneri (Chacoan peccary). Lineage: Eukaryota; Metazoa; Chordata; Mammalia; Artiodactyla; Tayassuidae. The record is from RNAcentral.